UUGUGAUUGUAGUGAGGGUAUUCCAAACCGAACCACUAGUACGAUUAGAGGGCAAGUCUGGUGCCAGCAGCCGCGGUAAUUCCAGCUCUAAUAGCGUAUAUUAAAGUUGUUGCAGUUAAAAAGCUCGUAGUUGGAUUUCAAGGCGUGUAUACUCUUUUUGAGUAUGCUACCUACUAGUCUCUGACUGUUACUGUGAGAAAAUUAGAGUGUUUCAAGCAGGCUUUUGCAAGAAUACAUUAGCAUGGAAUAACGAAUGUGUCUAGAAUCUUG
RNAcentral lists this ribosomal RNA (270 nucleotides) under Balantioides coli. RNAcentral's name for it is "partial 18S ribosomal RNA". It matches the Rfam family "Eukaryotic small subunit ribosomal RNA", at positions 503 to 837 of the family's 1831-position model. The record is from RNAcentral. Lineage: Eukaryota; Ciliophora; Litostomatea; Vestibuliferida; Balantidiidae.